This 506-nucleotide ribosomal RNA is filed under the name uncultured bacterium. RNAcentral describes it as "partial 16S ribosomal RNA". It matches the Rfam family "Bacterial small subunit ribosomal RNA", at positions 28 to 523 of the family's 1533-position model. The record is from RNAcentral.
GAUGAACGCUAGCCACAGGCUUAACACAUGCAAGUCGAGGGGUAACGAGAGGAAAGCUUGCUUUCCUUGUCGACGACCGGCGCACGGGUGAGUAACGCGUAUCCAACCUGCCCCCAACUAGGGAAUAACCUUGCGAAAGUAAGACUAAUACCCUAUAAUUUCCUCAGAUGUCAUCUGACGAGGAAUAAAGAUUUAUCGGUUGUGGAUGGGGAUGCGUCUGAUUAGCUUGUUGGCGGGGUAACGGCCCACCAAGGCAACGAUCAGUAGGGGUUCUGAGAGGAAGGUCCCCCACAUUGGAACUGAGACACUGUCCAAACUCCUACGGGAGGCAGCAGUGAGGAAUAUUGGUCAAUGGGCGGAAGCCUGAACCAGCCAAGUAGCGUGCAGGAUGACGGCCCUAUGGGUUGUAAACUGCUUUUAUACGGGAAUAAAGUUAGCCACGUGUGGUUAUUUGUAGGUACUGUAUGAAUAAGGACCGGCUAAUUCCGUGCCAGCCGCCGCGGUAA